Haliotis rufescens (red abalone) is the source of this 375-nucleotide long non-coding RNA. RefSeq lists it as uncharacterized. The record is from RefSeq and is a predicted model, not a curated record. Lineage: Eukaryota; Metazoa; Mollusca; Gastropoda; Lepetellida; Haliotidae. The transcript is spliced from 3 exons.
UAACGAUCAAUACACAGUCACUCGGUUUUAAUUAUCAACAAAUUUGUUUGUUUUUUUAUCUGUGCAACACAUCAUGAAGUCUGCAAUGAUCAUAUUUGUGGUGAUCUGUUUCGUUGCCCUAACAUUUAAUGCUGUUGAGAGCUGUUGUCAUCACCGGCAUAGUCAUCACCGUCACAGCAGCAGCAGCAGUGGCAGCGGCUCAAGCAAGUUCAAGAGUUUCUUUCCUUCAAGUUUCUCCAAAUCCGGACUAAGUUCCUUUGGGAGUUUCGGAUCCUUCGGAUCAUUUGGAAAGAAAUGAAUAGUUCAUCACACAAGAAGCUGUAUCGUGUAUGUUUCAGUGAACUCACCAUCGUGUAAUAAAAACUGUUAAUACAA